UUAGAUUAGAUUUGAUAUGUCAUAUCUUGUAAAUCCCUAAAAUAAAGGGAUACGGUUAAUCUCGUCCGUCGAUGUAAAUGUAUCUUGACCGUCGGUUUUGGGGGAGCUCAACUAUAAAUAGAGAGCCUCCCCCUCAUUUGUACUCACUCCAUUCAUUAUUUCAUUACUCUUUGUGAAUAAGAGAAUUGAGAGCAUUUACUCAAA
RNAcentral lists this long non-coding RNA (204 nucleotides) under Gossypium barbadense (sea-island cotton). RNAcentral's name for it is "long non-coding RNA (GBAR_LNC019986)". The record is from RNAcentral. Lineage: Eukaryota; Viridiplantae; Streptophyta; Magnoliopsida; Malvales; Malvaceae.